GCCAUGAGUAUUCUCCUGUCCUCCUCCAAACGCCAAAACUCUACCACACUGCGGUUUCACUACAGCCUGGAGAGAUGAUGGAUGAACAACAGUUUUUAAAACCAAAAAAGGCCCUUCUGGGUUGCUCGUAUUUAUGAGCUGAUCGACAGACAAGUUUUGUAUCGGAGAAAUAAAGAGGAGAUUCCAGACCGAAGUGAGACUCCAGAACCUUACGGAUCUUCUCAGUCACGUCGAAGAAAAACUGGGCACUCUUCAUAGGAACAACACCCUCCUGUCCCAUCUAUAAGACAAAAACUUUAAACUGAUGAACACAAAUUUAUUUUUAUACAAUACACAUUGUUACAGCUUUACUGCGUUUUCCUAAAUUGUGCAUUGAAGGUCUUACCUGGAGAGCUUUAAGAACUGUGAGUUCCUGAAACAUCUCGCUCGGAGAAUGAGUACAGAGAGACUUGAUGUUUACUUUGGAGAGGCUGUGAAGCCCCUGACACUCCUCGUAUGAGGUUACACCAUCCAGAACGACUCGUUGUGAACCGUUCAGGGCCGCGGAUGUCAUGGAUACAAUGAUGCCAUCAAAUGGGAGUUUGUUGUCAAUGCUAGGCUGUGUUUGUGCGGGUUACCGAUCUCUUCUGUAAUCCUCGCUGCCGUUUCUCUGUCUGCCCUGCACACAACAUCAACAACAACAUCAGAUGUUUGUUUUGUUCAGCUGUGAAGAAAAGCUCAUAUGUCAGUGUAGCGUUCAGUCUGUACCUCUCUGGCUGAGAUGUUGGCAGCUUUAUCUUCACCCAACACAGCAGAAUAAUACGCCAGGUUCUGCAGCAUCACCUCAUCCUCAGGGUGAAAGAGAAGAUCAUUGGAGCAAAGAAACAGAAGUCCACCUGCCUGUCAUAGCCUGAAAGAGAUCGGCGUUAUACUCCAUGUAAUUGUCGUAGUUGAACGCUCCUUCACAGAGAACCCUGCACUCCUCAUAAGCAGUGAAAUAUUCU
This is a non-coding RNA of Misgurnus anguillicaudatus (oriental weatherfish), 983 nucleotides long. Lineage: Eukaryota; Metazoa; Chordata; Actinopteri; Cypriniformes; Cobitidae. The record is from RefSeq and is a predicted model, not a curated record.